GUGCUUGUGUCAGCAGCACACAUAGUAAUAUUGGAACAAUACAGAGAGGAUUAACAUGGCCCCUGAGCAAGGAUGACAUGGAAAUUCAUGAAGCUUUCCAUGUUUUU
Phyllostomus discolor (pale spear-nosed bat) is the source of this 107-nucleotide small nuclear RNA. NCBI's taxonomy places the organism in Eukaryota, Metazoa, Chordata, Mammalia, Chiroptera, Phyllostomidae. The record is from RefSeq and is a predicted model, not a curated record.